RNAcentral lists this long non-coding RNA (2796 nucleotides) under Amborella trichopoda. RNAcentral describes it as "long non-coding RNA (ATRI_LNC001359)". The record is from RNAcentral. Lineage: Eukaryota; Viridiplantae; Streptophyta; Magnoliopsida; Amborellales; Amborellaceae.
AAUGAUGCAGGAAUUUUUUAGUAUAUACAUGUUACUCAUUUCAUUUCCACGUAUCCACGUGUUGAUUAGGAAUUACUGUAAAUAAUACUGCUGGAAUGAGCCUUUGCCCUUCCUUCCGUGUGGGUCAAAUAUAAAAUCCUAGGAUGCAACUCAUGCGGUUUUACAUUGUCUAGUUUUUCUAUUUCAAUGUUGUGAUUUUCAGGCCUGUAUGUUUAUCUAGUUGUCCUCUCACAUAGGUAGUAAUUUAGAUUUUAGAAGAUUCAUAGAUUGUAUCUCUCUAAUUCUUUAUUUGAAUAUAUUUGUCUCUUAUUUAUUUAUUAGUCAACUCCUCGUAGAUGAUCCAUUAACAGAUUUUUUAUUUUGUACCCAUUGUAUUUGUAUUUGCCAGAUUAAUUUGAGGCACUCCACUGAAGAUGUAUUCCAUAUGCUUGCAGUUUGAAUGACAGAAUUAACAAAGGGCAUUUCUGGGUUCUCUUUGGGGUGCGUGUCAUGAUGCCAUGGAAUAUAAUGUUUUCCUGUUAUAUUACUCGGAAAUGAGAGAGGGCUAAUUCUUUUAGUCAAUGGCUAUGUGAGAUCCUUCUCAAGAAUAAUUUGUUUUAAUUAGGCUAUUGUUUUCUCCCUCAUUACUUAUUACUUUUCCGUUCACAUUGCUGAAUGAAUGAUGUGAAGUUUUGGGGAUUGUAAAGUUGCAGUGUUCUGGCACCUGUACAUGUUUCUCUAUUUUAAUCAUGGUUUUUUUUUUCUUAAUGAAGCAUGUGUCCAUGAUACGAUUAACAUUGUUAUGGAAUGAGAAAUUCUCUUAUAAGCUCACGCUUGUUCCACUAGCAAUUAUAAUUAGUCACUUAGUGCAGUCUACAUCCGAUUUCACGCUUUAAACUUCUGAUGCCAAAUCUACUUUGGUUUGUUAUGUACUGCUUUUGUUUCCUAUAUUUAUCUGCUUUAUAUUUUUUUUGAAAUGUUAUAAUCUGUUUAUAUUUUUAAUAUCAAAGAUGCUUAAUUUGCUGAAAUCCAAAUUCUAUUGCUGUUUCCUAACUUCUGGGCUUUAUUCAUAUUUUCCGUUGCCUUCCUUGGCAAAUUUUCUGAAAUCCAAAUUGCAUCAUCCAUUUAGGCCCCUAACUGAACUGAUGAAGUCUACCACUAAUUGCCUGGUGAGGGUAUAACUUUUGAACUUGAGACUGUUUUUGUUCCAGGCCAAUAAACUCGAGUUAGUCCUUACAAAUUCUAGAACAUGGAACCCUUUUCUUGAAUUUUAUGUCUAGAAGCCUUACGACUGUGACUUGGCAGAGUUUCACUGUCUCAGUGAUUCUUCCAGUUCUUUCUUUAAAAAGUUAAUAUCAUAAAUCUUCGGAUUCUUGGGCAGAAGUUCACCAAAUGUGGGUGAAGUCUGUAACAUUCACAUUUCCUUAUCAUUUUUGCUUUUCAAUUAACCAGGAAAACUAGUCACACGGAGCCAUACAUGCUUAAUUCACAUUUCCUUAUUGUCUCUUUUCAACUAAGAAGGGCAACGUUUUGGCCGGAAAUUAAGCAUGUAUGGCUUCAUGUGACUAGUUUCUCACAUGUCUCAGAGAAACAUAUUUGAAGUUAUAGCUAAUUUGUUUGUGUAGUUUGAAUGUGCUUAUCAUAAUCCUAUUAUACUCUUUCAGAUUUGUGAGUUGCAAUCUCUAUCUCAUUUGAGUGCAAUUUCUAAGGCAUGUUUGGACUGCACGUUGCCAGAAAAACAAAAAAAAAAGAUCAGUCCUGAUCUCAAAACUUGGUCCAUCCAGCAUUCAAAAGCUUGCUGUGCAAAACAGAAAAAAUAAUGAACCUAAGCAAUGCUAGGGAGAAUAUUUUAUUGCUGCAAUGGUGAUUUACUCAACAGCACACGAAGGAAAGGAAAGAAAAUGAUGGAUCAGGUGAGGAGUUGAAGUAGGGCUAACCCAACGUGCAAGAGCUUGUCGAGGUACAUAUUUAUGUCUGAAAGGUGACUAAGGGACAUAUGCAGAGACCUGUUGGCAUCCUCACAGCUCAUUGGCAUAAGCAUGCAUUUGCCCAUAAUCUCAACCGCCCCUGUGUAGUCCUUAUGAACAUAAAAUUCAUCUGCUGUGUUUUGCAAAUCCCCAAGUGCUGAAAUGUAGUCGUCAUUACAACUGUCGAGGACCAUGUGAAGGUUUGUCUGGUUCCAGGACUCACGCCACAACUUCUGUACAUAAUUACUUGUGCUUGUUGUAUUGUCAACAGAAAAUUUUACAGCUAUGCCAACGAGUCCAACCAGAUCGGCCGUGCGGCUGCUUGGGUCCAAGCUUAUCGUGUUCACACAGAAGUCGUAAUACUCUGUGUGGUUGCAUGCAUCCUUGAGUAUCUUCGAUGGCUCUGAGGCUGCCUUACUAGAGAAGGGGUCCCUAGCGAUUGUAGGGUCUAAUAAAGAGAGGAAGAGGAGGGAGAGAGCCAUGGCUAUGGUGAAAGACAUGGUUCAGAGAGAGCUUUUUUCUUCUCUGUUUCUUGUUCUGCUCCCUUCAAGAAAGUUAUGCAAUGCAAUGUAUGUAAAUCCGUGUACUGAUCAUCCUAGUUUUAUAAAUCCUGGUUAUGGUUCUCUCAAGCAGUUUCCUAAAUCUUAUUUAGGAAAGGUGUACCGUUUAUACGCCACCUUUCCUCCAUGCAUGCCCUACUUGUUAUAAAAUUUGCAUGGAUAUCUCUCUUUCUUUAAUGAUGGAUAUGCCUCGCUUUCAUAAAAUUGAGAUUCUAAAAUUUGGCAUGGAUAUCUCUGACAUGAAUGCUUUCCGAAAAAGAGAUUUUAAAACCUACGUUAUGGGUAGGGGA